Molecule: ribosomal RNA, 496 nt
Filed under: uncultured bacterium
Lineage: Bacteria
Description: partial 16S ribosomal RNA
Rfam family: Bacterial small subunit ribosomal RNA
Source: RNAcentral
AUUGAACGCUGGCGGAAUGCUUUACACAUGCAAGUCGAACGGUAGAGGGGGCAACCCCUCGAGAGUGGCGAACGGGUGAGUAAUAUAUCGGAACGUGCCCAGUCGUGGGGGAUAACGUAGCGAAAGUUACGCUAAUACCGCAUACAAUCUAAGGAUGAAAGCGGGGGAUCGCAAGACCUCGCGCGAUUGGAGCGGCCGAUAUCAGAUUAGGUAGUUGGUGGGGUAAAGGCUCACCAAGCCAACGAUCUGUAGCUGGUCUGAGAGGACGACCAGCCACACUGGAACUGAGACACGGUCCAGACUCCUACGGGAGGCAGCAGUGGGGAAUUUUGGACAAUGGACGCAAGUCUGAUCCAGCCAUUCCGCGUGCAGGAUGAAGGCCCUCGGGGUGUAAACUGCUUUUGUACGGAACGAAAAGGUCUCUCUUAAUACGGGGGACUCAUGACGGUACCGUAAGAAUAAGCACCGGCUAACUACGUGCCAGCAGCCGCCGCGG